Molecule: ribosomal RNA, 454 nt
Filed under: uncultured bacterium
Lineage: Bacteria
Description: bacterial SSU rRNA
Rfam family: Bacterial small subunit ribosomal RNA
Source: RNAcentral
GAUAAACGCUGGCGGCGUGCCUAACACAUGCAAGUCAAACGAUCCCGCAAGGGAGAGUGGCGGAAGGGUGAGUAACACGUGGGAAUCUACCUCCUCGCAGGGAACAACCUCUCGAAAGAGAGGCUAAUACCCAAAAGGGUCAGAAAUGAUCAGAGUCGAAAGGCGUGAGGAGAGGAGCCCGCGGCCCAUCAGCUAGUUGGUGAGGUAAUGGCUUACCAAGGCUACGACGGGUAGGGGAUCUGAGAGGAUGUCCCCCACACUGGAACUGAAACACGGUCCAGACGCCUACGGGUGGCAGCAGUGAGGAAUAUUGGACAAUGGGCGAAAGCCCGAUCCAGCAACGCCGCGUGGAGGAUGAAGGCCUUCGGGUCGUAAACUUCUUUAGAGGGAGACGAGAAAGGACGGUAUCCCUAGAAUAAGCGACGGCAAACUACGUGCCAGCAGCCGCGGUAAU